CGCCGCCCGCUGACCCCCC
RNAcentral lists this microRNA (19 nucleotides) under Gallus gallus (chicken). RNAcentral describes it as "microRNA Ros-gga". The record is from RNAcentral. Lineage: Eukaryota; Metazoa; Chordata; Aves; Galliformes; Phasianidae.